CACAUUCCAAAGCUAAUCCAGAAGGGCAGCUGAAUCUUACUUCAACACUGGCUAUGGAAGAGCUUCCUCCUCUGCGCAAGAAGACUGGCCAGGGGGCUGCUGCCACUGCCCCACUCCCAGCAUUCGCAACUUGAGGCGGCCGUCUCUCUCUCACAAAUGGUAGGGCUGGUCCUGUCAGCUUUUUUACAUGGAACUGCAUGGAGAUCUGUUAACAUGACAAAAGGGGUUGUUGAUAGGCCAUCCAAGAGGAAUCCUUUGGCCUGGGGAGACAGAUGGGACUGUGUGUUUGAGGUGACAGGAAAAGAGAGUUUUUGAGCAAGGGGUGCUGGGAAGAAGGAAGAAGAAGAAAGACUGGGAUCCAUCUUGAGAAGGCUGGCUGGGAGAGAUGCCUUGGACUCCAAGGCUGUGGGAGACAAGUCUCUCUUGAAAUGACCAGGCUAUAAGAUCUGGACGGGUAAUAUUUAGCUGACUAGUUUGUAAGAAGGUAGCUUCAUCUGGUUUGUUGAUCCAUUUUAACAGGGGCUGCAAUCUGUAGCCAGUUUUAAAUUUACAGAUUAAUCUGCUCAAGCUUCCGCUAAUUAGCAAGGACAGAUUUUAAUCAGCAGAGGCACAAGUUGUGUGCACUUGUUUAGAGUCUGAGAAUGUUUUUGUUUUGGGUGUCAUGGGGAUGACAAAAACAAUUGAAGAAGGGCAUUUUUAUUUUAAAUAAGCUGAAGCUUCUGUGAAAGCUGUAAGCAACCUCAACAGCUUUGUCAUGUUCUGGUCCAGUACCAGAACCCACGGGGGAAGUGGUGAGGGUGGUUGAAGGUUACCGGACCGUGGGGAGCUCUGAGUGAGCAACUUGCUCCAGGAAAGGUUAGGAGCAGGCUGAGGUCUUUUAUGCCUCUGUCUCCAGACCACCUUUUUCGUGCUCCAUCCCCUUGGUGCAACAUUGGAGACUUACAGGGCCAACCCUCUGCCCUGAAGAUGGACACUCCUUCAUCCCCGGUGUGCUUCUGGUCUGGUUCUCCACACUCAGGUGUCCAUUAGGGUUCUGGCUCUGGCUUUGCAGACCUUGGUGGUUCCUCUGGGAGUUCUGGUCCAACUGCCUCAGGCACACUGGUCUCACUGCCUUCUGCAGCCAGCUCACCCCUGACCCAGACACAGCUCCCCAUCUGAUGCCCCUGCAGCCUUUGACUCUCUUUCCAGAUCAUGGCUGGAUAUCACAAACCUGAAGUCACCUAUAUUAAGGUUUUGGCAAAAGGCAAAUUAUUGACUGACCGGUUCAACAUUAGAUUAGAUAUCCCAUUGUUUUAAAAUCAGUUCAACUACAUUUAUGGUGCUGGAGUUGGGUUUUUUAAAAAACAGUGUGCUCUUAAAUUUUUGAGGAUUUGGAAAAGUGGAAAUGUGAUUUAUAAGCAUUUUUUUAAAUACACACACAAACAUAUAAAGUAAAUGAGAUUAAAUGGUGCAUCAUGGAAAGUGUUGCUGCUCUGCAGAAAACCUGCAAGUAAUAUGUAAAGAGAGAGCAUGUUGCAUAUUGCUAGGGUCUAGCAAAGUCACUAGCCUGCUUCUAGAGACCACAGGGAAAUGUGAGAAACCCACAGCCAAUGUGAAAGAGCUCUCUUAAUCUCUUUUUGCACAUGCAUCAAGUAACCCCAUGCUAUAUGUAAAUGUCGUAUAUCUUUAGUAAACAGACCAGCUACAUAUACCACAGUAUGUAUUUUAAUGGCAUUUUUCUAAAGGUCAGACAAUGCAAAGGAAAGUGGAUGGGGGGGAGGGGAGGUGAAAGAAAGAGGCCCAUAGCUCCAGCGUGAUAUAGCAGUCUUUUCAAAGGUACAUAUUCCCAGGGCUUUUCAUGUCAUUUGAUUAAAGGACAGCGUUCUGCCUAUUGGAGUGGGAAAAAUAAAGUCCUGCAAAUGGGCUUAUUUUGCCUUUCGAUCAGUUUGGUAUGCUCUCUCUCUCUUUCUCCCUCUCUCUCCCCGCCCCCCAUUCCCCAAUACUAUUUUCCAUCCUAUACCACCAAUACUGGGGACACUAUAUUCUGUUUAUGCUAAACCUCACACAUGUGGAAACAAAUCCACAAAUUGGUUCUGCCAAAUCCACAUGGGACUCCUUUGUUGAGUAUAGAUGGCAUCUUGCCCUCUGUGCAUAAAAGAAGUGUGUGUGUGUGUGUGUGUGUGUGUGUGUGUAUUUAUGCACCCUUCUACAAGUAUAUCUCUACCAUGCAUUGAAGAGGAUGCCAGAUCAGGGCAAAUGCCAAAACAUUUUUAAAGACUUUUCCAGAACCAAGAAAAACUACAUACGUACGUAAGUAAGUAAAUGUUAUGGCUCUCAGAAAUGCAUCUAAACCACUCUGAGACCUGCGGGUAUAGAGCGGUAUAUAAAUUCAAUAAAUAAAUGAAUAAAUGAAAGAAUAAAUGAAAAAAAAUUCAACGUAUCAGAUCAGAUAUGACAUCAGAUAAUAGAUUCUGCGUGCAGUUCCAUGUUUUGAUUAAUAAAUAAAACAACACAUCCUAAAGAUUUGGGCUACAUCUAAAGUGGAGCCUCUGCUAUAAUUUGAAGAUGCCUUUAAGUGGAGAAAUGUUAUUAUAUUAUUAUUUGUUUGUUUAUGCCCCCAACUUUUCCUCAAGAUAGCAUACACAUAAAAACAAGAACCGCUAAAAACAGAGCAAACAAUUAAACAUUACCAGAAUUGAAACUAUAUACAUAUAUAAAAGCUAUUAAAACCAUAUGAAUUAUUAUAAUGAAAACAGCACAGCACCAGCCGUUUCAUUAAAAGCAGUCAGAUCCCCAAAGCCUCUUGGAACAAGAAAAUCUUCCACAGGAAGGAGCCUGUCUAUCCUCUCUAGGGAGGGAGUUCCAAAGCCUGGGAGCAGUCACCGAGAAGGCCCUCUCCCAUGUCCCAAACACUUUUCUUUUUCGUUUGCACAGUUAAAACAUCCUGGGUGCAAUCCUGGAAAAAACAUGAAAUACAUGAAAAAGCCAUCAGUAUCCAUGUAUCUUUGUUAGAGUUCUCUGGAUGCUUCACCCAGUGUAAUCUGUUAGCAGAGGACCAAUAAUAUAGUCUAUGUAUAUGCAUUUCAUGUAUGUGAUCUUUGUUAAUUAAAUAGCAGCUACAGAGGGUGUGAUCAGGAUUAGAACAAUGUUCACAUGGCAGGGUAGAGUUUUUAAUUUCCUCCUGUGCCACAAUCCCAAUGAAAAUGCCUUCUUUAAGCCCCAGGAGGUCAGCUUUCAUUGGUGUCCAAAGCAGGUUCACUCCCGGAAAAUAGCAGCAAUUUCUGGGUUCCUAUUGGCACCGCAUCGUAAGACUAACCCCACACCCUCGCUGCACAGUGUGGUCUCGAUCCUGGCCCCCAGUAUUUGAUAACAAAAAGCAGGCAUGUUAAGUGUAUACUCACAUUUAACGUGUUGUCUGGUUUGGCUCACAGCCUUUGCCAGUUACCUAAAUUUGGCCUUGGUUGUGAAAGUGGUUUUUAUUUUCGUCAAGUGCCAUAAUUCCUUGACUUGAAGUCAGGAAGACUUUUGGGCCUUGAGUGACGCACUUGGUAGGAUCAGUCAAAACCACGAACUAUUUAAAAGAGGCAGCAUCAUAAAGACACACAUUUUUCUUUCUUCCUUUUUAACUCAGGUGCUGGUUGGGUCUCUGGAAGUUGCAACUGAACCCCAGUUUUGAAGAUUGGCUUUUCUCAGAGUUACAAAAAGCCAGUGUGGCAGGUCUGGCAUUUAUUUCUUUAAAGCCUUCUGAAAGGGAAUAUUUUUGGAAGUUUAAGGGAUAAGUGUACUUGGUGAUGCAUGAAGUUGCUGAUAAUUGCAGUAGCUGUUCAUCGUAGCUCUGCCCUUCCCAUGACAGCAAAGCACGGAUCCUAGGGACGUUUCAAAUGCCAUAUGAGGAGAAAGAAGGAAGUUCUGACAGCUUUAUUAUGGUUAUUGCUGCUUGAGAAACCGCUAUCCAGUUAGUAAGCACACUCUGUAUUUAGAACAUCUGGCUGUUUCUCCUCAGGAAGAACACCACGGACUGGGAGAAAUUAGCAACCCUGAAAUCAAGAGGGGAAACAUGUUGAGAAAUGUAUACAAGAAGCAAAAAUUAAAGUUGGAAGAAAGAUGCACGAAAACACAAACCACCUCCCCAGCUUCAAGAGAAAAAGUGUAACAGGAUAAAUUAAAGACAGGGAGGAAACCCCAUUGCCACAUGGGGUAUUUUCAGUUGAUCCAGACAUGGGAAGCCUCAUGAUGCUGAGGGCUGAAAGUGGCCCUUCAUGCUUCUCUAUCCGGCCCUUAGAAUUCUCCCCAGGCCACACCCACUUUCCACAGGCCACACCCAUCACUGGACCUGCUUCUCACCCCAAGUAUUUUUGCCUGCUGGUAUCUGUUCUUGAACUCUGACAAUGUGCCUUACACGCCAGGAUAGAGGAUAGUGUGUGUAGAAAUUAGCCUUCUGUAUAGAAAGGUAAGGGACGCGGGUGGCGCUGUGGGUUAAACCACAGAGCCUAGGGCUUGCCAAUCAGAAGGUCAGCAGUUCGAAUCCCCGCGACGGGGUGAGCUCCUGUUGCUCGGUCCCUGCUCCUGCCAACCUAGCAGUUCGAAAGCACGUCAAAGUGCAAGUAGAUAAAUAGGUACCGCUCUGGCGGGAAGGUAAACAGCGUUUCCGUGCUCUGCUCUGGUUCACCAGAAGCGGCUUAGUUAUGCUGGCCACAGGACCCAGAAGCUGUACGCUGGCUCCCUUGGCCAAUAAAGCAAGAUGAGCGCCGCAACUCCAGAGUCGGCCACGACUGGACCUAACGGUCAGGGGCCCCUCUACCUUUACCUUUAUAGAAAGGUAACAUUUAUAUUAAUCACUCCAGCGACUUUCGCCUUUGGUCUUGCUCGCCUCUGGUAUGCAGCUCUCAGAAGAUCUCCUAGAAACAUUUGGAAGACUGCCACCUUCCCUUCAGACUUUCUCGGGUGUUAAGAUUAUCAGAGGUGGUUCUCUUGUUCGUUCCACCAUGAACGUAGGAGCCCAUCUGAGGCAGCCCCCAAAUUGUGGAAUUCCCUCCACACAGAAGAGCGUCUGACACUUUCAUUAUCCUCAUUAUUUCUCCUAAGAUCCCAGGAUGAGUUACAACAACAGAAGUAAUGCAGAUUAAAACCGGAUAAAACCAAACCAUAUAGAGAACAAAAAGAGAUUAUCAACAGUCUUUUUGAAGCAAUUUUGAGAGGAAGGCAGGCAGCUGACGUUAAUGAAAAACUGAACAAACCACCAAGUCAGAAGAUGCUGAAGGUGAGCCUCUUUACCCUGGCCUCUGGCACCAGAGAGAGAGAGAGAGAGAUUUUUAAGACCCACCCUAUUCUUGUGGUUGUAAUUUGCUUGGAACUGAUUUUAAUACUGUAUUUUUAGAUUGCUAUAACCCGCCCUGGCACCUUACAGGGAAGGGUGAUGAGAAAUCGAAACAACAAACACAUAAGAAAAGUACUUCCCACCCCAGUUCAAUCUAGUCCAGGCUUCCUCAACCUCGACCCUCCAGAUGUUUUUGGCCUACAACUCCCAUGAUCCCUAGCUAGCAGGACCAGUGGUCAGGGAUGAUGGGAACUGUAGUCUCAAAAACAGUUGGAGGGCCGAGGUUAAGGAAGCCUGAUCUAGUCAGACUACUUCACGGUAUUUAACUUUUGUCUGAGCUGUGAGGCCUUUGCCAUCCUCCACCUGCUGGCAUCCUUGGUUGGUUGGUUGGUGUGUGUGCCUGUAAUGCCACUUUCUUCCUUGAACAAUGAGAUUUUAAAAUGAAUGGUUGCACACAUGUUCGGGAUACAAUUAUUUGUUUUAUGUUUGACUACCAGUCCAACUCCCUGCGCCUGUUUUCAAGGGGGAGGAGAAAUGGCAACAUACAGUGUUAUGCACUAUUUGGAGCAUGGAGCCUGACCUGCAUCAGAUGCACACAAAGGGACAGAUGAAUCUGUUGCUCUCAGUUUCUCAUUGUUUCUAUUUUUAAGUUCAUUCCUGCAUUGGUUUGCAAUGCUUUCAAAAAAUAACACCUCAAAAGUGUUUAUCAGCGUCGGGGUGUGAAUAUAUACAUCUGCAGAUGUGAUUUUGCCUGAUAUACAAGUUUGCAAGCAAUUUCUCCUAAUAUAGUGCAUUCUUGAAUAUUCUUUUCACUAAUAUCUACAUUUUCAUGCACACUUUCCCCUAAAACACUUUCUUUCUUUCUUUCUUUCUUUCUUUCUUUCUUUCUUUCUUUCUUUCCUUCCUUCUUUCUUUCUUUCUUUCUUUCUUUCUUUCUGAACUACAUUAUGAAUGCAUAGAAGUGUGAACUUUGAAGGGUAGCUAUGUUUUGGUUUGUGUAUUUUUUCAGGAAGUGUGAAUGAAGGUAAGGUACCCCUGCCCGUACGGGCCAGUCGUGUCCGACUCUAGGGUUGUGCGCUCAUCUCGCUCAAGAGGCCGGGAGCCGGCACCGUCCGAAGACACUUCCGGGUCACGUGGCCAGCGUAAUGAAGCUGCAGCUGGUGAGCCAGCACCAGCACCGCACACGGAAAUGCCGUUUACCUUCCCGCUAUAAAGCGGUACCUAUUUAUCUACUUGCACUUAGGGGUGCUUUCGAACUGCUAGGUGGGCAGGAGCUGGGACCGAACGACGAGAGCUCACCCCGCCGUGGGGAUUCGAACCGCCGACCUUGCGAUCAGCAAGUCCUAGGCACUGAGGUUUUACCCACAGCGCCACCCGCGUUGUGAAUGAAGGUAACUCACAUUAAAGUAUUAACCAAACCUAAUUUAUCCCACAUCCCUAUGCAGAAGUCAGCUUCUGCUUAUGGGUAUUAAUAAUAAUAAUAAUAAGAAGAAGAAUAAUGCAGUGGUACCUCAGUUUAUGAACUUAAUCCAUUCCGGAAGUCCGUUCUUAAACCAAAACCGUUCUUAAACCGAGGCACACUUUCCCUGAUGAGGCCUCCCACCGCCGGUGCCCUUCCACCGUUCGGAUUCCAUUCUUAGACCAAGGUAAAGUUCUCAAACCAAGACACUAUUUCCGGUUUUGCGGCGUUUGUAAACAAAAUCAUUCUUAAACUGGACUGUUCUUAAAUCGAGGUACCACUGUAAUAAUGCAGGUUACAACAAUUUAAAAUUUACAACAACUUUAAAAACAGGUUAAAACUUACAAUUAUAAAAACUGCAAAAAAUAUAGCUUGUUGGUCUGGAGCACUUCUUACUGUUUGAAGAAGCUUGCUUCAUGAGGUAAAUAUGGGAAGCAGAUUCUGAGGGGUCUUUGCACAAACCCUGAAAGUGGUGGUUAUGCACCAUUAUGCAGUCCCUAAUGCUCUGCUACUAAGAAAACUUUUCUGCAAUAUAACACCAAUUCUUUUUUUAAAAGGAAAUUUCAUAUUUAGCUUCUUUCACUCUCUUUUAGCAAAGCUUUGAAGCAGAACCUUUCUCCCAGAGGUAGAUUAUCUGAAUGCUCAUUUACUGAGACCGCAAUGCCCAUUAUUACAGGACAUGCAAAUGUUUCAUACAGUGUAUGAAGAAAAAUUAUUCCAAAUGAUUAUUGAUGGGUUAAUCAAGAAAACCAUGUCAACUUCUUUUGUCCAUUAAUGUGGACGGUAUUUCACAAUCAUCAUAAUAAAAGCCAAAUGUUAAUGGUUCAGGUAAUCAGAUCCUAAUGAAGAACAGCGAUGGAUUCUCGCUUUUAAAUAGUUUACAAUUUUCAUAAUCACUGAAGUGGUCAGUUGGUCCCACGAUUCUUCAUAUUUCAUACUGCAUCUUUUCCAACCUGUUCUUUAGUUUAACUUUUUCCUCUUGUUUUCUUUUCAGAAGGGGAAAAAAAGUUAAGGAAGCAGAAGGCAGGAUAUGAACACCUUUGAAAUGAAAAAAUCAUCAAGCAAUAGUGAUGGUGGCCAAUAAUUCAACAUGUCACACACAUCAAAGAAAUUACAAAAUAUCAUGUUGCAAAUCGGCUAGUAGCUGCAGAUAUACUGCAGGCCUCUUUCCCCUUCUUUAUAUAUGGUUAUUUAUACCUAUGAGAAAUCCCAGCAUUUGGAUUGUCCAUGAUCUUAAUUUACUUAACAUAAUCUAACAAAAACUACCAUAGAGGUUUCAAAAUUUUCAAAAGUAGGGGGUCCAUGGCAUGGCUUUUGAAGAACAGGGGGUCUGCAGUACUUAACUAAUUGGGAAUCAUUGACUUAGAGGUUUCCUAACCAUCAAGCAAUAUAAAAAGCAUUGCUAAAUAAAUAAAUAAAACAUCAGGA
This 8183-nucleotide long non-coding RNA is filed under the name Podarcis lilfordi (Lilford's wall lizard). Lineage: Eukaryota; Metazoa; Chordata; Lepidosauria; Squamata; Lacertidae. The record is from RNAcentral.